RNAcentral lists this signal recognition particle RNA (98 nucleotides) under Deltaproteobacteria bacterium. Its description in RNAcentral is "signal recognition particle sRNA small type". It matches the Rfam family "Bacterial small signal recognition particle RNA". From Rfam's summary of the family: The signal recognition particle (SRP) is a universally conserved ribonucleoprotein involved in the co-translational targeting of proteins to membranes. Archaeal SRP consists of a 7S RNA and homologues of the eukaryotic SRP19 and SRP54 proteins. The record is from RNAcentral. Lineage: Bacteria; Pseudomonadati; Myxococcota; Myxococcia.
GAUUGGGUCCUGCGCAACGGCGGGAUGCUAACUCCGUCAGACCCGGAAGGGAGCAGCGGUCGCAUCUUUGUCGUGUGAUGCAGGGUUGCCUGGUCGCC